AAAGGCAGCUGUUAUGCCGGAGUAGCAAGUUCCGGGGCUUUUUGUUAUUAUUUAUGUUUUGUGGGAAGACAAAACCCGGCUUUGGGGCUGUCGUUCCUCUGGUUUUCCAUAAGGAGGAAUAGAAUAGAAGUGGAAGAUGAGAGGAUAGAAGAGGAAUUCAUCAGAUUUGCAGAUGACGCCAAUCUGGGAAGAAUAGCCUACAGUUAAGAAGAGGAAUUUUCAUAGAUACUGGGCCCUGUCCAACAAAAUGCAAGUCAGUGGUGAGAAAAGUAAGAUUUUACACUUAGAUUUUAAGGAAUAAACUAGACAAGCUGAGCUUGAGAUGCAGAGAUAAUGUGGCCCCGGCCCUAUGGAAUGAACUGCCUCCGGACAUACAAAGGAUCCCCGACCUCCAUGCCUUCCGUCGCGUUCUGAAGACCCUAUUAUUCCAGCAAGCUGGUCUGACAGGAUAAAGAAGGAAUCUGUGACAUCUAACAAGACAAUAAUAUUGAAAGAUGUUGAAGAUGGAAUUUUCUUCCUGUGGCAAGUUGGAAAGGAAGUUUCCCCCCCUCAAAGCUGAAUGGGACAAUUUGCUGCAGCCAACUUACUGCUGCCCUCUCACCACAGUCAUCUUAACCACACACACUCCAAAAGUUCAAGAACAGGAAGAUUGCGACAACUAUACCAGGUCUAUGCAGAUUAACGGGAAAGUUUGAAAAGUUGAGUUUCUGCCAAAAGAAAAACAAGCAAGUUUCGAGUAUUUUUCACAGGAAAUGAAAAACCUGUAGGCAUCUGAAAACAUUUGAAUAUGUAUAAGAAGACAGGUUUUACACUUAGCUGUGGUUUGGAAAACUGUACCUUCCCCUUGUCUGUAACCAACUGCCGAAAAUGAAGAUAUCCUUCUUUGGAGGUGUCACCAAAGACUUCUGAAGCAGAUGCUUUUCUGAAUCCUGCAUUUUCUGAAGAUGCUUGGCUAUUUGGAAUCUAAAGAAAACAUAAUCAAACCAGCUUCAGCAUUCUCUAAUAAUUCAAGAUCUCCCUCUUCUUUCCCUUCCAUCUGUCAGGUGGGAAUACAGACAACUAGCAUGAAACGGGACCUAAUACUAACGGAACAGUACAUUCCAGUCAGCCAUCAGCUCAAAGGAACCCCAAUGAAUUACAGAAAAGGCCUGCCAUAUAUCUCAAUAAGUUGGUUUUCUUUUAAUAUGCAAGGAAGUAGUAAUAAUUCUAAAGUUAACUACAGAGUGUACCAUCCUGUCUGUAGCCAAAAAAGGACUUUUUCAUCAAAUGCUAUCUAAUCUUUAUAAUUGGCAAAAGUCAAUAACAUCUGUCCACUAAGCUUGGAUAUUAAUUAAAAAAAAAUCACCAUUAAAUUUUAAGCAGUCUAUAUUCGCACAUACCUAGGUGUAACUUAAUGCUUAGUCAUACAAUACUAAUGUUAUUUACACAGCAGAUAAAUAUUGAAAAUAAAAUAACUGACCUUAAUUUCCUUUAA
This is a non-coding RNA of Pantherophis guttatus, 1474 nucleotides long. The record is from RefSeq and is a predicted model, not a curated record. NCBI's taxonomy places the organism in Eukaryota, Metazoa, Chordata, Lepidosauria, Squamata, Colubridae.